This 5199-nucleotide ribosomal RNA is filed under the name Metschnikowia continentalis. The record is from RNAcentral. Lineage: Eukaryota; Fungi; Ascomycota; Pichiomycetes; Serinales; Metschnikowiaceae.
AGGUGAUAUAUUGAAAAAAGGUAUAUGUAAUUAAUAUUAUUUUAAGGAUUACGAAUCAAAAUUUAAAUAAUGAUAAAAAGAUAAAAACUGUAAUAACAGGGAUCAAUCAUAAUCAUGAAAAUGAUAAAAAGAGAAACAAGUGGAAUGAAACAUCUGAGUAACUUGUUAAAUAACCAACAGGGAUAAUAUAAGUAACGGUGAGUGAAAGUAUUAAAAUCUUAAAGUAUUACCAAGAGGUAAGAAUAAAGUAGUUUCCAACUACUAAGAAAUAAAAUUAAAUUUUAGAUUAAAGUACCGCAAGGGAAAGUAAAGAAAUAGAAUAAUAAAGAGCAGUUAUAGUAUAACGUACCUCUUGUAUAAGUGCGACAAGAAGCAUUAAUAAUUAAUGUGGCUAAUAACCACCUAACCUUUCCAUUGGUUAGACCCUAUCUAUACAUGCUGAAGGAGUAAUCAUCAGUUUGAAGCUAUAGAGACAAUGUAACAUUAUUCCCAUUAAAUUUAAUCGGAGUGCUAGGGUAAUAAUUCUAUGAUAAACGAAAGUGAACUUGCAUUGAGGCUUCGUAAAAAAUGGCCCCGCUUCGCGGGGCGAUACCGGCCUACGGGCCGGCAUUGUUAAGUCAAAUCUUUCUUAUACUGGGAUUUGAAAUGGAACAUAUUUAACACGAAGUAAAGCAUAGUAUCUAAGGAAUGUCCGGUAUAUGACCGGUAAAUUAUCCCCCUGCUUCGCAGGGGAUGAUUAAUCCCCGAAGGGGGAUAAAUUAUGGAAAAUUAAUCCGUUAAUGUAUUUUAAUUAUUAGUGAACUUGGUAAGCCCUUAGUUUUCUAAAUAUAAUGUUAUAUUUAGUGGUAACAUAUAAAGAUUAAUCUGAAAUUGUUAUAUCGAACUUAGGGUAUAAGAAGAUUCAAAAAGCGAAUGCAGAUUAGUAAUAGAUCUGAUAAAGUUUUAUAACUUAAUCCGAGAGGAUGCAGACUUGAAUCAUUGUGAUCUUCAUAAUUAUUUAGCUCUUUAAGAGCAAUAUGAUAAUCUAAAGCUUUCGGUAGAUUAUGAUAGAGAUCUUGUUAUAAUACAAGUGAAAAUAAUUAUUGCUAAAUAAAAGCCCACAUAGUGGGUAAUUGGCUAAUAUUGUAAUAUGGGCCCGCCGAAGGCGGGCCGAUAUUAUAGGGUUUUCCCUAAAUAUUACAAUUAAGUAAGAUUGCAUGAGCCGUAUGCGAUGAAAGUCGCACGUACGGUUCUAAGGGGGGGAAAAACUGAGAGGUUCUACCUAUCCCAAUUGGGCCAGUGAGUUAUAUAAUUUAGUGAAAAAUUGAAUAAAAAUUUUUAUAUAUAAAUAGAAAUAAAUUAAAUUAUAUAGGCCCGAAAGCAAACGAUCUACACAUGUCCAAGUGUAUAUACAACCUAUUUUAGGUUUAUAUAUGACUCAAUAGGUAAUUGUAGCAAUAAUUUCUAAAGAGGUGUGUGUAGCUGUGACAGACAAAUCUGGUUUGCAGAUAGCUGGUUUUCUGCGAAAUAUAUUUUAGUAUAGCCUUUAUACAUAUUUAAACUGGUACAGCACUUAAAUAACUUUGGGGAAUUAGAAUAUAAUUUUAUCAAAAUAUUUAAACCUCGGAAUCAGUUAAUAAUAAUAUAAGGAGUCAGACUUAUUGCGAUAAGGUAGUAGGUCGAGAAGGAAACAACCUAGACUAUUAAAUGAAUGUCCCAAAUAUUAAUUAAGUGAACAAAAUCUAUCCUACUUUUAUUUUUUUUAAUAAAGGUUGUAAUUAUAUAUUAUAAUUUCUUCCCCUCAGGGGAAGAUAAUCAUCCCCCGCUUCGCGGGGGAUAAUUACACAUUAUUUUUCUUCGGAAUUAUAUACGGGGUAUUAAAUUAUAGACAAUUAGUAAGUGGGUUUGACAAUAAUCAACUUUUAAUGAACAUGUAACAAUGCACUAAUUUUAUAUAUAUAUAUAUAAAUUAUAUAUAUAUUUAUUAAUAAUAGAGAAAAUAUAUCGGGUCUAAAUUAAUAACAGUAUUAUAGAUAUAAUCAUUAAGAUUAUAUGGUAGCAGAAUAUAUAAUGGAUAAUUAUAAAGAGAUUGCUGGCUUGAGUAACGAUAGAUAAUAUAAGAUUAUCCCCUUAUUCAUAAGGUUUUACUAUAAACGAACGGUCCCUAAGAUAAUUAUAGAAAUAUAAAAUUGAUGGGUGAAAGAACAAGAAAAUAAAAAUGAACCGUACUGUAGACCGACACAGGUAUGAUUAGCAAAAAGGGAAUGGGAUAACUACUUUGAAUGAACUCGGCAAAAUAAAUCGUGCGACUGUUUACCAAAAACAUAGCUUAUUGCAUACUAGUAAUAGUAAGUAUAAUAAGUGAUAUCUGCCCGGUGUUAGUUUAAUAAAUAUUGUUAUUUAAUAGAUAAUUUUAUAAAAGACUGAUAAACGGCGGUCUUAUUGUGAGGAUCCGAAGGUAGCGGUGCGACAAGAUAAAUUCGUAAUAAGAAUAAGGUGAAAACCCUUUACAAUAAAUGUCAUAUUUGUAAACCUAAUUCAACAUGCAUUAUGAGUAAUUAUUUUGUAUGAAGCUUGAAUGACAACGGCUAUAAACUUUAUCUGAUAUAAGUGAUCUGGUCUAGGUUAGAACGACAUGAUUAGUUUAUCAAAAUAGUGGAUUAAAAUCUCGUUAUAGGAAAGUAACAUGAUCAGUUUUUGGUUACUAUAUAUGAUUUAAAUAAUAUCGACGCUACGGAUAUUAUUAUAUGACUUAAUAAUAAAAAAUCAUCGGGAUAUAGCUAUAAUCUAAAUCGUUCAUUAAAGUCUUAUUACGGAAACUUGGUAAGCCUUAUACAUACCUAUAUUUUAUAGGAAGUAAUAUAUAAAAUUAAUAUAAUGGAAAUUAUUAUAUAGUGUAGAAGGUAAAGGAUAAAUAUAAAAAGCGAAUGAUUUUAUGUAAUGUAAAAUAUAGAGUUAAAUAACUCAUUCUGAAAGGAAGCUAACUUAUAUAUAAGGCCAUAAAAAUUUUUAUGGUUUGAGCCGUAAGCAAUGAAAGUUGCACAUACGGUUCUUAAGGGGGGAAAGCUUGAGAGGGCCUACCUAUCCUAACAAAUUCAUUGACGUAUAAUUGACGUCCUGCAUGAAUGAAUAUACGAUGCGAUAACUGUAUCCAAAGUAGACUCAGUGAAAUAGCAAUUGCGGUGAAAUUAGUACUAUAAUAAAUAUAUUAUACGCCGGGUUGGUGUAAAUCCAACUUUAUAGUUUUAAUAAUGCCGGCCGUAUGCCGGUAUGGCCCCGCUUAGCGGGGCCAUGAUAUAUUAAAUGUCUUAAAUGAUAGAUAAGUAUAAUAAAUAAGAAUACAAUCGAAAUAAUACUUACCCCUUAAAUAUAAGGGUAAAUUACAUAUAGGCAAUAUGUAGUUUAAUCACUAUAAAUAAAAAGGUGAAAACGGUUAAUGACAUCUUAGUUAAAGACCGUCGGCAGUUGUAUAUGUCGCUACAGACUGGUUCACCGAGGUUAGACUGAAAUGUCUGUCUAAAUGUACAGUCGGAUUCUGUAAUAUAAUAUUUAUAUUAUAUAGAGGUGAAAGAUGUAUAAAAAAAUACAACUUAUUAGUACUUAAGCAAGAAACCUUUGUAGGUCAAACCUACUUAAAUUAAUCAGAAUUGGAAGAUGCCGUAUAUCCGUAGGUUGACAAAAAGACCCUAUGCAGCUUUACUAUAUCUUUAUUUUGAUUUUUAAUCAUAAUACUUUUAUGAUUAGCCUUUUUUCAUUUAUUUCAGCAGAUUAGGUUAUAUUUAUAUUUUAAAUCAAAUGAGAUACCUAUAUAAUUGAAAAAAGAAUCUAAUUAAUACAGUCAGAAUUCUAUAAUAUAGAAUGUUAAUUAUACUAAUUGACUUAAGUUUAACUUAUUUAAGAAAGAGUAAAGAGGUUAGUUUCGAUGGGGCGUCGACAUCAGCGAAAGCAUCUGAUGUGUCUAAUAACAAUGAUCUUGAUUAAUCAAGACUAAAUGUUUAAUUAAAUUUUUUAUUUAAUAGUAAAUUACGUACAAUAAUUCUAUAUGGUAAAUAGAAUAAAAGAUUAUAAGUAAGGAUAACAACAUAAUUGUGCGAUGAUAAUAACACUAACAAGUGGAAUUAGUACUUACGUAGAGUGUAGUGAACAGGCAUAAACAAAUGGUAUGGAUGUCGAUAACGGAUUAAAGUUACGCUAGGGAUUAAUUGUUAGUUCCUUUAUAUAGAAAUAUAUAUUUAUCUACGCUUUAGUUAGAUAACUUUCAUUUGAAAGAUAUUAAUUGGGUGAAUUACAUAGAACUCUUUAUAUAUAAAGACAAUAUGUAGCGAAACAUAUAUUAGUUAAAUUUUUAAGAUAUAUGAACGUUCAACGACUAGUAAUUGAGUAAACUAACAAUAAUAUUACCACGAGCGCCCAAUACCUAUGAAUUAUCCCUCCAAGGGGAUAAAUAAUUAGGUAAAGAAAUAGUCUGAACUAUAUAGUAAUAUAUAGAUGUUGUUAUUAAAAAAACAACAAAUAACAAAAUUGAACAGGGUAAUACCGCGUGAGAGUUGAUAUCGUCAGCGGUGUUUGCCACCUCGAUUAAUAACGAUAGUCGAGUUUAAAUAGGUUUAAUUGCAAGAAGUCUAAAAUAUAUGACAUAUUAGUUUGAUAUAUAAAAUGAUGAUUUGCAGCGAAUUAUUAUUUAUAUAAAUAAUAUAUAUAUAUUAUAAGAAUAAUAAACGUUCAACGACUAGUAGGUGAGUAAAAUAACAAUAUCCUACCACGAAAUACCUAGAAAUAUAUAUAUUUAUAUUUUAAGAUAUAGUCUGAACAAUAAUGAAAAUUAUUGAAGUUAAUAUUAAAUAAGUUAACGAUAACAAAUUGGUCGUCUAGACUCGUCCUCCUGGUCGCAGCAACUAGGUAGGGUAGGACUGUUCGUCCUCUAAGGAGUUACUUGAGAUGGGUUAAUUACGACGUGAGUCAGUAAUGAUUUUAUCAUCUAUGGAUUUUUUUCUUAUCUGUUGCCUUAAGUGUACGCAAGGAUAAUAAGGUACAUUCCUAUGGUUAAUUAUUAUAUUUAGCUAAGAAUGUUGUGUUUACAUAUUGAAUGCAUAUCAAAUAUUAAAUCCUUCAGAUAAGUUUAUACAUUAUAGACUAUAAUGUAUUAGUUAAUUUGUUAUAUUUGCAAAUAUACUAAUUUAUUUACUCAUAUUUUAUGAGUAUAAAAAAAAACAUAUACCU